UACGUAGGGUGCGAGCGUUAAUCGGAAUUACUGGGCUUAAAGGGUGCGUAGGCGGCGCGGAAAGUUGGGUGUGAAAUCCCUCGGCUCGACCGAGGAACUGCGCCCAAAACUACCGUGCUCGAGGGAGAUAGAGGUGAGCGGAACUUAGGGUGGAGCGGUGAAAUGCGUUGAUAUCCUAAGGAACACCCGUGGCGAAAGCGGCUCACUGGGUCUUCUCUGACGCUGAGGCACGAAAGCUAGGGUAGCGAACGGG
Molecule: ribosomal RNA, 253 nt
Filed under: uncultured bacterium
Lineage: Bacteria
Description: partial 16S ribosomal RNA
Rfam family: Bacterial small subunit ribosomal RNA
Source: RNAcentral